This 389-nucleotide long non-coding RNA is filed under the name Helianthus annuus (common sunflower). Its description in RNAcentral is "hypothetical non coding rna". The record is from RNAcentral. Lineage: Eukaryota; Viridiplantae; Streptophyta; Magnoliopsida; Asterales; Asteraceae.
GUUCAAAUGGAAUUGGCAACCUUCAUCAAAAGAGGAGCAUUAAGAAUAAACUCUUCAACAUGUUAAAGAAAAAGGUAAGGCAAAAAGGACUUACCAGCACUAUUCCCCGAGUGCGCAUCCAUUCUGCUUCAGAAACAAGCCUGCUUCCUCAUCAGAUGAUUCAACAGUAAUCGGUGGAUCAAGGAUCGCCUUGAGGCGCUGACACCAAUCAUCCUUUUUUAAGGCACUAACAACCAAGUCCAUAAUGGGCAAGGAGAGGUUGUCAUAUGAGUUCUCAGCACUGGCCAGCGCAGCAUCAGCUUGUUCCGUCACUGAGCAAUGACUUGUAUCGAAUUCUUGUCCCAGCAUUCGCUCAACGUGAUCAGCACACUCCAGGUAACCUCCUCGAU